RNAcentral lists this ribosomal RNA (428 nucleotides) under uncultured prokaryote. Its description in RNAcentral is "bacterial SSU rRNA". It matches the Rfam family "Bacterial small subunit ribosomal RNA", at positions 355 to 774 of the family's 1533-position model. The record is from RNAcentral.
UGAGGAAUAUUGCGCAAUGGGGGCAACCCUGACGCAGCGACGCCGCGUGAGUGAGGAAGGCCUUCGGGUCGUAAAGCUCUGUCAAAGGGAAAGAAGUGUGCAAUGGCUAAUACCUGUUGCAUUUGACGGUACCCUUAAAGGAAGCACCGGCUAACUCCGUGCCAGCAGCCGCGGUAAUACGGAGGGUGCAAGCGUUGUUCGGAAUCACUGGGCGUAAAGGGCGCGCAGGCGGUUUGAUAAGUCAGAUGUGAAAGCCCAUGGCUUAACUGUGGAAGUGCAUUUGAAACUGUCAGACUUGAGUAUCAGAGGGGAAAGUGGAAUUCCCGGUGUAGAGGUGAAAUUCGUAGAUAUCGGGAGGAAUACCGGUGGCGAAGGCGACUUUCUGGCUGAAUACUGACGCUGAGGCGCGAAAGCGUGGGGAGCAAACA